RNAcentral lists this ribosomal RNA (208 nucleotides) under uncultured Anoxybacillus sp. RNAcentral describes it as "partial 16S ribosomal RNA". It matches the Rfam family "Bacterial small subunit ribosomal RNA", at positions 1174 to 1382 of the family's 1533-position model. The record is from RNAcentral. Lineage: Bacteria; Bacillati; Bacillota; Bacilli; Caryophanales; Anoxybacillaceae.
GGGGAGUGACGUCAAUCAUCAUGCCCCUUAUGACCUGGGCUACACACGUGCUACAAUGGGCGGUACAAAGGGUCGCGAACCCGCGAGGGGGAGCCAAUCCCAAAAAGCCGCUCUCAGUUCGGAUUGCAGGCUGCAACUCGCCUGCAUGAAGCCGGAAUCGCUAGUAAUCGCGGAUCAGCAUGCCGCGGUGAAUACGUUCCCGGGCCUU